This 388-nucleotide ribosomal RNA is filed under the name uncultured bacterium. Its description in RNAcentral is "bacterial SSU rRNA". It matches the Rfam family "Bacterial small subunit ribosomal RNA", at positions 29 to 416 of the family's 1533-position model. The record is from RNAcentral.
AUUGAACGCUGGCGGCAUGCUUUACACAUGCAAGUCGAACGGUAACGCGGGGGCAACCCUGGCGACGAGUGGCGAACGGGUGAGUAAUACAUCGGAACAUGUCCUGGAGUGGGGGAGUAGCUCGGCGAAAGCCGGAUUAAUACCGCAUACGCUCUGAGGAGGAAAGCGGGGGACUCGUAAGGGCCUCGCGCUGCAGGAGUGGCCGAUGUCGGAUUAGCCAGUUGGUGGGGAAAGGCCCACCAAGGCGACGAUCCGUAGCUGGUCUGAGAGGAUGAUCAGCCACACUGGGACUGAGACACGGCCCAGACUCCUACGGGAGGCAGCAGUGGGGAAUUUUGGACAAUGGGGGCAACCCUGAUCCAGCCAUGCCGCGUGAGUGAAGAAGGCU